GAUGAAGAACGUAGCGAAAUGCGAUAAGUAGUGUGAAUUGCAGAAUUCAGUGAAUCAUCGAAUCUUUGAACGCACAUUGCGCCCCUUGGUAUUCCAUGUGGCAUGCCUGUUCGAGCGUCAUUUGUACCUUCAAGCUUUGCUUGGUGUUGGGUGUUUGUCUCGCCUUUGCGUGUAGACUCGCCUUAAAAUAAUUGGCAGCCGGCGUAUUGAUUUCGGAGCGCAGUACAUCUCGCGCUUUGCACUCAUAACGACAGCGUCCAAAAGUACAUUUUACACUCUUGACCUCGGAUCAGGUAGGGAUACCCGCUGAACUUAAGCAUAUCAAUAAGCGGAGGA
Molecule: unclassified non-coding RNA, 336 nt
Filed under: soil metagenome
Description: partial contains 5.8S ribosomal RNA, internal transcribed spacer 2, and large subunit ribosomal RNA
Rfam family: 5.8S ribosomal RNA (bases 1-120)
Source: RNAcentral